RNAcentral lists this ribosomal RNA (474 nucleotides) under uncultured bacterium. RNAcentral's name for it is "partial 16S ribosomal RNA". It matches the Rfam family "Bacterial small subunit ribosomal RNA", at positions 28 to 507 of the family's 1533-position model. The record is from RNAcentral.
GACGAACGCUGGCGGCGUGCUUAACACAUGCAAGUCGAGCGGUAAGGCUCCUUAGGGAGUACACGAGCGGCGAACGGGUGAGUAACACGUGAGUAAUCUGCCCUUCACUUCGGGAUAACCACCGGAAACGGUGGCUAAUACCGAAUACGACCAGUCUUCGCAUGAGGUGCUGGUGGAAAGUCUUUUCGGUGAAGGAUGUGCUCGCGGCCUAUCAGCUUGUUGGUGGGGUAAUGGCCUACCAAGGCUUCGACGGGUAGCCGGCCUGAGAGGGUGACCGGCCACACUGGGACUGAGACACGGCCCAGACUCCGACGGGAGGCAGCAGUGGGGAAUAUUGGACAAUGGGCGAAAGCCUGAUCCAGCAACGCCGCGUGAGGGAUGACGGCCUUCGGGUUGUAAACAUCUUUCAGUACCGACGAAGCGCCCUGUCGGGUGGUGACGGUAGGUACAGAAGAAGGACCGGCCAACUACGUG